This 24-nucleotide non-coding RNA is filed under the name Arabidopsis thaliana (thale cress). The record is from RNAcentral. Lineage: Eukaryota; Viridiplantae; Streptophyta; Magnoliopsida; Brassicales; Brassicaceae.
AGUUAGGGAGAUUUGCAAAACUAC